Molecule: regulatory RNA element, 54 nt
Organism: Robinsoniella sp. RHS
Lineage: Bacteria; Bacillati; Bacillota; Clostridia; Lachnospirales; Lachnospiraceae
Rfam family: uup RNA
Source: Rfam
AGAAACUUAACUCUGUACAACUGGAAAUUGAUUCGGUGAAGCAUUGUGCAGAGG